RNAcentral lists this ribosomal RNA (497 nucleotides) under uncultured bacterium. RNAcentral's name for it is "partial 16S ribosomal RNA". It matches the Rfam family "Bacterial small subunit ribosomal RNA", at positions 28 to 507 of the family's 1533-position model. The record is from RNAcentral.
GAUGAACGCUGGCGGCGUGCCUAGUACAUGCAAGUCGAGCGAACGGACGAGAAGCUUGCUUCUCUGAUGUUAGCGGCGGACGGGUGAGUAACACGUGGAUAACCUACCUAUAAGACUGGGAUAACUUCGGGAAACCGGAGCUAAUACCGGAUAAUAUUUUGAACCGCAUGGUUCAAAAGUGAAAGACGGUCUUGCUGUCACUUAUAGAUGGAUCCGCGCUGCAUUAGCUAGUUGGUAAGGUAACGGCUUACCAAGGCAACGAUGCAUAGCCGACCUGAGAGGGUGAUCGGCCACACUGGAACUGAGACACGGUCCAGACUCCUACGGGAGGCAGCAGUAGGGAAUCUUCCGCAAUGGGCGAAAGCCUGACGGAGCAACGCCGCGUGAGUGAUGAAGGUCUUCUGAUCGUAAAACUCUGUUAUUAGGGAAGAACAUAUGUGUAAGUAACUGUGCACAUCUUGACGGUACCUAAUCAGAAAGCCACGGCUAACUACGUG